RNAcentral lists this long non-coding RNA (245 nucleotides) under Phoenix dactylifera (date palm). Its description in RNAcentral is "long non-coding RNA (PDAC_LNC011577)". The record is from RNAcentral. Lineage: Eukaryota; Viridiplantae; Streptophyta; Magnoliopsida; Arecales; Arecaceae.
AGAUGGGACAAGAGCAUCUUCUACAAUGGAGUUGAUCAGAUUAACUCCAUGAAUUUCAUCAUUUUCAUUGUCAUUAUCAGGUUGUUUGCAAAUGUUAAAUAUAUUAAAAUCUAUAGUCAUAUUCCCGAAUGACAUUUUCAUUAUUCCAUUUCGAUAGUUGAUCAAAACAUUGGAAGUAGCUUGAAAUGGGCGGCCUAAAAUGACAGGUAUUGGAGUGGUACAAUUCAUGACAGGCUGGGUAUCUA